GCUUCCCAGGACGCUCCCGGCUGUCCAGCUUCGCAUCCCGGUCCCGGACAGUAUUAGUGGCAGGCUGCUCUAUGGCUCUUUCCUCAUUGGGAUCCAGGUUGGGGGCCACCAAUACCUCCUUCUCCAGCUCCUCAAUCUGCUCAGGAGACAGGUUGGACAAAAGGACAUCCAGGUCAGGGUCCUCGCUCACCUGCCGCCCUAUCCGUGUCAGUCCCCUCACCUUCCUCCUGGACAUGGUCGCCUCUGGCUGGAGAAGAAAACACCCUCACAGCAGAACAGAUGAAAACGAAGACAAGCUGAGCAUGAGAUAACAAAGAAAUCCCCACAGAGAGCUGACUAAAGGGGUCCGACAGAGCGAGAGGAGCCGUCAACUCUUCUGAGCAUCCUGACUUUUAUACAACAGAUAAGAGUCAACCAGCUCUCAUACACACCCUGUUAUCUGCAGGUAUGACCCUCACUCUGUCCACUACCGGAUUAAAGCCAAGCAAACAUGUGAAAACAGAUGUUCACCAUUCCUCAAGUCAAAUGUCUUAAGCAGAGAAUGAAUGUCAAACAAAGCAUGUGACCUUGUAGAAUGUAGUUUUGGGUUACACUAAUUGCGAGGGAUAGAUAUCAGAGUAAGUGCAUGGAUGAAGGAUGCAGGUUGGUUACCUCACUUGGAAUGGGUGCGACAUUUUCCACAUUAGACUGUCAGUGGGAAUCAAGUUCAGUGUCAGGACAGACAGGAGAACCCAACUCAGCAUAUGCUCUGUUCCUUUAAAGGAUGUAGAAAAUAAAGGAGAAUAAAGUGCC
Long non-coding RNA from Salmo salar (Atlantic salmon), 792 nucleotides. RefSeq lists it as uncharacterized. The record is from RefSeq and is a predicted model, not a curated record. Lineage: Eukaryota; Metazoa; Chordata; Actinopteri; Salmoniformes; Salmonidae.